GGGUGUAUGACUGAGUGGUUUAAGGUAUAAUAUUUGAGCUAUUAAGGUUUAAUUACCCACGUGUUCGAAUCACGUUGCACCCG
RNAcentral lists this transfer RNA (83 nucleotides) under Candida tetrigidarum. Its description in RNAcentral is "tRNA-Ser". It matches the Rfam family "tRNA". From Rfam's summary of the family: Transfer RNA (tRNA) molecules are approximately 80 nucleotides in length. Their secondary structure includes four short double-helical elements and three loops (D, anti-codon, and T loops). The record is from RNAcentral. Lineage: Eukaryota; Fungi; Ascomycota; Pichiomycetes; Serinales; Debaryomycetaceae.